AGCGAACGCUGGCGGCAGGCUUAACACAUGCAAGUCGAGCGGGCACUUUCGGGUGUCAGCGGCGGACGGGUGCGUAACGCGUGGGAACGUGCCCUCUGGUUCGGAAUAACUCAGGGAAACUUGAGCUAAUACCGGAUACGCCCUUUUGGGGAAAGGCUUGCUGCCGGAGGAUCGGCCCGCGUCUGAUUAGCUAGUUGGUGAGGUAACGGCUCACCAAGGCGACGAUCAGUAGCUGGUCUGAGAGGAUGAUCAGCCACACUGGGACUGAGACACGGCCCAGACCCCUACGGGGGGCAGGAGGGGGGAAUAUUGGACAGGGGGCGAAAGCCUGAUCCCGCCAGGCCGGGUGGGUGAUGAAGGCCUUGGGGUUGAAAAGCUCUUUUACCCGGGACGAUAAUGACGGUACCGGAGAAAAAAGCCCCGGCUAACUGCGU
RNAcentral lists this ribosomal RNA (434 nucleotides) under uncultured bacterium. RNAcentral's name for it is "partial 16S ribosomal RNA". It matches the Rfam family "Bacterial small subunit ribosomal RNA", at positions 30 to 506 of the family's 1533-position model. The record is from RNAcentral.